AGGGAUGUAGCUCAGUGGUAGAGCACUUGCCUAACAUGUAUAAGUUCCUGGGUUUGAAUCCCAGAACCUUA
This 71-nucleotide transfer RNA is filed under the name Neotoma lepida (desert woodrat). It matches the Rfam family "tRNA". Rfam says of the family: Transfer RNA (tRNA) molecules are approximately 80 nucleotides in length. Their secondary structure includes four short double-helical elements and three loops (D, anti-codon, and T loops). Lineage: Eukaryota; Metazoa; Chordata; Mammalia; Rodentia; Cricetidae. The record is from Rfam by way of RNAcentral.